UGUUUGUGAUGUUAUUCUGAGUGUGUAUCCACACCGGGCAUUUUUCAAAAAUAUGCCUGGCCACGGUAGGAAUCGAACCUACGACCUUUGGAAUACUAGCCCAAUGCUCUGCCAGCUGAGCUUCGUGGUCAGGUCGGUUCGAGUAUGUGAUAUUUCGGAACUGAGUUUAGUUCUUUUUUUUCUGUGCUGGUGUUGUGUACUCAGGUGAAUAAGAUGCUUGUGAUGUUACUCUGAGUGUAUAUCCACACCGGGCGAGCUUGAAAAAUAUGCCCGGCCACGGUGG
Non-coding RNA from Paramuricea clavata, 283 nucleotides. Lineage: Eukaryota; Metazoa; Cnidaria; Anthozoa; Malacalcyonacea; Plexauridae. The record is from the annotation of a GenBank genome assembly.